AGUAUCUUGUAUAAAUGGUGACCAUCAAUAGCUGGAGGCUGAUAAGUAUUAACCAAUUAUUAGAAUGACCCCGUGACCCCAGAACCUACUUUUUCUACAACAUGUAUUCCAGGAAAACAGCUUCAUCACCUUUAAGACCGCUGGAAAAUGAAGCCUGCCUUGCCAUACACAGGACUGUAUCACAGUUUGAAUCAAAUUUGUGCGUCUCUUGCUUGCAAUUCUGCUUUUCUUCCUUUGAAAAUGGAAGGUAGGCAUCUCCCAAGCCUUCCAGAAGAAACUGACCUGCUUCUUCUGCUUGGGCUGCCUCAUAGACCCAGGCACCAUAAGCUGUGGCCACAGCUUCUGCCGGGCCUGCCUCAACCUGUCCUAGAAAGACAUCCAAGUACCUGCCCAUUGCCCUAUGUGUAGGACACCAUGGCAGGAAGAAGACCUCAGAACCAACACUUUUCUGAAGAAGUUGGGUGUCCAUUGCCUUGCCAUACAAGCCAGGCUCUUGGAGACCCUGAGCUCCAAGAGCAUGAGUGUGUAACCCACAAGAAAACCCACAAGAAGAUCAACCAGAUCUUCUUGUGGAGAACAGGAUCUACCUCUGUGAACGCUGCUCUGUCUCCCAUGAGCACAGUGUUCACACAGUCCCAUUGGAGCAGCUCCUGAGGACUAAAUGAAUUUGCAUGACAUAUUCCAAAGGAGUGUGUCAGUGCAGUUGAGCAUGCCCCAGACUACAAAACCAGAACUCAGCGCCCUACCCAUCACUGAAGUGGCAGAAUGGUGCAACUACUAACAAGUGCACAUUUUUACUACAAGAUGAAUCUAUGUGAAGAGUCCAUCUGUGGAUCCUAUUGGAUGCUAUGCCACCAAGUCAAGUGAAUAAUGGUGCCCAAUAAAAGUACCUCAUGAUUUCUGGGGGUUAGGCCUCUGCUGAUCCUAUUGGAUGCUAUGCCACCAAGUCAAGUGAAUAAUGGUGCCCAAUAAAAGUACCUCAUGAUUUCUGGGGGUUAGGCCUCUGCUGAUCCUAUUGGAUGCUAUGCCACCAAGUCAAGUGAAUAAUGGUGCCCAAUAAAAGUACCUCAUGAUUUCUGGGGGUUAGGCCUCUGCUCUCCCCUUCAAUCGACGACUGUCAGUAUUGAUAUGAAUAGGAAGGAGAUGCCAGGAGCGAUCAUUGGUAUAUAGGACCUCUUGUAAAUAUUGUCAUCUGUAGAAGGUACUAAAUAAGGCUAGCUUAAUAAAAGCCAUCUUCACAUUCCUACUGUAUUCUUAGAGACUAACACAAUUAAGUUUCUAAGUCUAUGUGUCUGCUUAUCUUCCUGUACAGCAUACUUUCAAGGCCUGCAAUCCAGGGUCUCCCACUCCUCUGCCACCUGGCCUGCAGUCCAGACUCCCCUUGCCACAGACUUGUGUCCUUGGAACACAUCCUGCCAAGACCAAGCUCCCUGCUUCAACCUCUCCCACCUACCCUCCCUUCUCCCCUCUCCCAAGUUUCCUGCUUCAACCACUGCCAUCGCGCAGCCUGUAUCCGAGAAUGUGGUGAGGGUGUCGGGAUCGAUGACAAAGAGACCAGUCGGUUGUGUUAAGAAAACUUUAUGCUCCCCAAGAAGGCUCAAGAGAA
This is a long non-coding RNA of Mesocricetus auratus (golden hamster), 1606 nucleotides long. RefSeq lists it as uncharacterized. NCBI's taxonomy places the organism in Eukaryota, Metazoa, Chordata, Mammalia, Rodentia, Cricetidae. The record is from RefSeq and is a predicted model, not a curated record. The transcript is spliced from 5 exons.